Molecule: ribosomal RNA, 443 nt
Filed under: uncultured bacterium
Lineage: Bacteria
Description: partial 16S ribosomal RNA
Rfam family: Bacterial small subunit ribosomal RNA
Source: RNAcentral
CCUACGGGUGGCAGCAGUGGGGAAUAUUGGGCAAUGGGCGCAAGCCUGACCCAGCAACGCCGCGUGAAGGAAGACGGCUUUCGGGUUGUAAACUUCUUUUCUGAGGGACGAAGAAAGUGACGGUACCUCAGGAAUAAGCCACGGCUAACUACUUGCCAGCAGCCGCGGUAAUACGGAGGUGGCAAGCGUGAUCCGGAUUUAUGGGGGGUAAAGGGCGUGUAGGCGGGAAAGCAAGUCAGAUGUGAAAACUCAGGGCUCAACCCUGAGCCUGCAUUUGAAACUGUGUUUCUUGAGUGCUGGAGAGGCAAUCGGAAUUCCGUGUGUAGCGGUGAAAUGCGUAGAUAUACGGAGGAACACCAGUGGCGAAGGCGGAUUGCUGGACAGUAACUGACGCUGAGGCGCGAAAGCGUGGGGAGCAAACAGGAUUAGAUACCCCUGUAGUC